Molecule: small nuclear RNA, 103 nt
Organism: Protopterus annectens (West African lungfish)
Lineage: Eukaryota; Metazoa; Chordata; Ceratodontiformes; Protopteridae
Source: RefSeq, a predicted model, not a curated record
UUGUUUUGGCAGCAAAUAUGCUGGAAAUGGAAUGAUACAGAGAAGAUUAGCAUGGCCCCUGCUCAAGAAUAACAUGCAAAUUCAUGAAGGAAAUCAAGUUUUU